Molecule: ribosomal RNA, 447 nt
Filed under: uncultured bacterium
Lineage: Bacteria
Description: bacterial SSU rRNA
Rfam family: Bacterial small subunit ribosomal RNA
Source: RNAcentral
UGGGGAAUAUUGGACAAUGGGGGCAACCCUGAUCCAGCCAUGCCGCGUGAGUGAAGAAGGCCUUAGGGUUGUAAAGCUCUUUCGCCCACGACGAUAAUGACGGUAGUGGGAGAAGAAGCCUCGGCUAACUCCGUGCCAGCAGCCGCGGUAAUACGGAGGAGGCUAGCGUUGUUCGGAAUUACUGGGCGUAAAGCGCACGUAGGCGGUUGCGUAAGUUGGGGGUGAAAUCCCGGGGCUUAACCUCGGAAUUGCCUCCAAGACUGCGCGGCUUGAGAGUGGAAGAGGAGAGUGGAAUUCCCAGUGUAGAGGUGAAAUUCGUAGAUAUUGGGAAGAACACCAGUGGCGAAGGCGACUCUCUGGUCCAUUUCUGACGCUGAGGUGCGAAAGCGUGGGGAGCAAACAGGAUUAGAUACCCCUGUAGUCCCUGAGCGGGCUGGCAAGGCGCAU